AUUACCUUGGCAGAUUUAUGCGCCGGAUUUAGGAUCCGUUUAAAUAGUAUUAUACUAUAGGUGAUA
Molecule: transfer RNA, 66 nt
Filed under: Palaemon serenus
Lineage: Eukaryota; Metazoa; Arthropoda; Malacostraca; Decapoda; Palaemonidae
Description: tRNA-Leu
Source: RNAcentral